GCCGAGUGAAUCACUACUGGAUAACUUCUGCUUCCCAAGCAGACAGCGCGGGUUCGAUUCCCGUCAUCGGCU
Molecule: transfer RNA, 72 nt
Filed under: Agromyces bracchium
Lineage: Bacteria; Bacillati; Actinomycetota; Actinomycetes; Micrococcales; Microbacteriaceae
Also listed under: 4 other names
Description: tRNA-Gly
Rfam family: tRNA
About the family: Transfer RNA (tRNA) molecules are approximately 80 nucleotides in length. Their secondary structure includes four short double-helical elements and three loops (D, anti-codon, and T loops). Further hydrogen bonds mediate the characteristic L-shaped molecular structure. tRNAs have two regions of fundamental functional importance: the anti-codon, which is responsible for specific mRNA codon recognition, and the 3' end, to which the tRNAs corresponding amino acid is attached (by aminoacyl-tRNA synthetases). tRNAs cope with the degeneracy of the genetic code in two manners: having more than one tRNA (with a specific anti-codon) for a particular amino acid; and 'wobble' base-pairing, i.e. permitting non-standard base-pairing at the 3rd anti-codon position.
Source: RNAcentral